AAUCUGCUCAAAUAUUCCAUUCAAAUCUUUUCCAUGGAGACAUAUAUAUCCAAUCUUUAUAGAUACACACCCAUAGUAAUAUAUAUUCCAAUCAAUCCCACAAUCUUUCUACACAUAAAUUCAAUACCAAGAAAAAUAGGGAACUAAAAUUUAGAGAAAGAACCGAGUUGGAGAAGAGAGUUUUCCGCCGCCUAAGAAGGUUUGACGGUGUUCCAUUUCCUGUAAUGUCCUGUAAUGUAAUAGUAGCCCAUAAUACUUGAACGUCCUGUAAUGUAAUAGUAGCUUCUCCUACGGGAAGAUGGAAUGUAUGUGUCUCUGGCCUCCAACGUUCUACCAAAGCUGUGAUCAAAGCAUGAUCUACAUCUAGAGCCUUCCCACAGUAAAAAACCCCACCGAAACCAAAUCUGCAGACAUAAUCAAUCACGCGUCUGUGAUGAUUAUCUAUUUCCCAAAAAUGGCCCUCAAAGCGCCGAAUAUUGAAAGGAGUUGUUUCCUCGCCUGCCCACGCCUUGCGAGAUAUAUGACUGUGCUGAUAAUGCAAUACAGAAAGAUCUUCUGGUCCAUAUCGCGACAUCCUAAUAUAAUCAACAAUUAACAACAUUCGACACCAAAUUUAUCACAAAUUCAUCCCAAUUUCAACAACAAAUUCAUCACAAAUUUCAACACCAAAUUCAUCCCAAUUUCAACACCAAAUUCAUCCUAAUUUCAACACCAAAUUCAUCCCAACAUGUCUUUCAUCACAAUUCAACACCAACUUCCUCACAAAUUCCUCACAAAUUUCAACCCAAUUUGGUGACUAAAUUAAUCCCAACAUGUCUUUCAUCACAAUUCAACACCAAAUUCAUCACAACACCAAACAUUCGAAACCAAUUUCAAUAUUUCAAUAAAAAUUCGACACCAAUUUCAAUAUUUUAACAAAAAUUCGCCACCAAUUUCAAUAAUUCAACAAAAAUUCGACACCAAUUUCAAUAAUUGACAAAUUCAAUAAUUUCAAAUCAUGAACCCUAAAUCUAUAAUAACCAACUAAAAUCGAAAUUAAGGGUAAAAUCUUACCUAACAAGAGUUAAAAGAGGAAUGGGAGCAGCUAUAUGUCGGAUUCACUUCAAUUUUCGUCGGCUAGAUGAGGAUUUCGCCGAGCAGAGAUGGGAAGCGCCAGGGAGAGUGAGAAAGAGGCAGAAAGCUGGGAGUGAGGAAGAGGGCUUCUGGUUCGUAAGUCAUUCAAGUAAAACACGCAAGAGAAAUUCGCGUGUAUAAAUUUAAACACGCAUGAGCAAUUCGCGUGUAUAAAUUAAAACACGCAUGAGCAUUUCGCGUGUUUAAUUGAAACACGCAUGAACGAAACGCGUGUUUAAUAUUGAUACACGCGAGAGCUUCUCGCGUCUUUCCCCUCUCUGGAAACUCUUUUUUUGCGGGUACAAACGACGGAUACUAACUCACACGAGGUACUUUCGUGGACUUUCCCCCUUCUUUUACACUUUUCUUCUCUUUUAAUUAAAUUUUGGAUAGAUUGUGGGAUUGGUGAUUUUUUAUCCCUUAAACUGUUGUCGACUCUCGUUAUGCGAUGGUUUUCCUCUGGUUUGGUUUCAUUAGUGUAUGCGACUAGAAGAGAUUAAUGGUCUUAGCUUGACAGGGAAUAUUUCACUGCCAUAUCGAGCGUGAUGUUGUUCUUUCGUUUCUAGUAAGGCUCUAAUGGUGCAUAAACUGUGUUGUGAGGCAUUCAUCACUAUUUCUCAGUACACGAAUACCACAUGAUGAACUGAUGAUACUGUCAUUGCUUGAGCUUGAGAGGAAACGAAAUCUUACCUCCAUCACUUGGCUCAAACUUCAGUCUUCCCUACUGCCUGAGAGGAAACGAAAUCCUUCCCUCUCUUCGACUCACUGUGCGAUUGUUUGUGAUAAUGAGGGAGGAAAGGGGCUGGAAUCUAUUUAUGCUUGUUGCCUAACUGAAAUCCUGAGAAAAGGCUGGUGUACUUGGCUGACAAGGGGUCCUUGGUUAGUUGUAUGUUGGCUGGCCUUGCAGCAUCGUUUUAACUGAUUUUGGUGGCACAUUGCAGGUACGAGCGAGGUACGAGCUGCAGGGGAUCAGCCUUGGAGAGUGCAACCACUGAGGUGAAAUUCUGUUGGCUGACUUGCUUCUCUCGGCCUAGCUCUCACUCACUUUUCUGAAAGGAACAGAGGCUGGCUACCGAGGCUGCCCUUCCUCGCGGUCUCGCCCUCUCGGCUUGUCUGAGAUACUGGGGCCGAGACGGCCUAGUGAUGAAGAUCAACGUAGUUGCUAGGGACCUCGAGUUGUAUUAGCGUAGUGCGCCUACGAAUUUAUUUUCAAUUUGUAUGCAAAACUCGAUACUAGUUGGUGUGUCCUUCUUUGUAACUUAUUAGCUUGAAAUUCUUCAUAUUGUAUAUAUUGAUUUUAUCUAAGAAA
Molecule: long non-coding RNA, 2422 nt
Organism: Salvia splendens (bonfire salvia)
Lineage: Eukaryota; Viridiplantae; Streptophyta; Magnoliopsida; Lamiales; Lamiaceae
Exons: 4
Source: RefSeq, a predicted model, not a curated record